This 838-nucleotide long non-coding RNA is filed under the name Piliocolobus tephrosceles (Ugandan red Colobus). RNAcentral's name for it is "lncRNA (ENSPTEG00000027571.1)". The record is from RNAcentral. Lineage: Eukaryota; Metazoa; Chordata; Mammalia; Primates; Cercopithecidae.
CGGAGGUUGCAGUGAGCUGAGAUUGUGCCAUUGCACUCCAGCCUGGGUGACAGAGCGAGACUCUAUUUCAAAAAAGAAAAAAGAAAAAAAGAAGAAGAAAAAGAGGAAGAAGAAGUAAUACACCAGUGUUGCCAGUGAGCAAGCGGGAGGGUGUUUGGCUACUGAAGUGCAGUGGAGCACAGCAAUGCGCAAAUCAAAGGAACUUGCUUCUUCAAGGUCUUCUAGCAGUGGUUCUGACAGUGAUGUUGACAAAAAGUUAAAGAGGAAAAAGCAGGUUGCUCCAGAAAGACCUGUAAAGAAGCAAAAGACUGGUGAAAAUUGAAGAGCUCUGUCAUCUUCCAAAGAGAACAGCAGCAACAGCACAGAUGAUAACCUGAUGUUUCAGGAAGCCAUUGAGGGUUAAAAACAGAAGAAUGACAAAAUUUGGUUGAUGAUUUAAAAGGAUCACCCUGGAUGCUGCUGUAUGGAGAGCUAGAAUGGAGGUAGGGAAACCAGAUAGGAAGCUAUUCUGGUAUUUCAGGAAAACACAAUUAUUGGCCUUUCAAGACUCCACGGAAGUGAAUCCCCAGAAAUUUGCAACUGACUGCUCCCACUCUGCCCCCUCUGCUUCUGAAGCAAAUCCUGUCAUAGCCCCUGUGGGGCUGUCCAACCCAACACCCCCUGUGUUCCUAUUGUGUGUGUUUUCUUGUCAGUGUCCUGCAGUGGAACAGAAGCUCCUCAAGGGCUCCAGUUGCCUCCAAUUCUCCUUUCUAUCCCUGGCUGGCAGGACAAGCCUUCAAACAAUAAAUAUCUGUCAAGGAGUUUUAUGGAUGGAUGACUGAAUGAAUGUAAAAAGGAU